This 2103-nucleotide long non-coding RNA is filed under the name Salvia miltiorrhiza (redroot sage). Its description in RNAcentral is "long non-coding RNA (SMIL_LNC011607)". The record is from RNAcentral. Lineage: Eukaryota; Viridiplantae; Streptophyta; Magnoliopsida; Lamiales; Lamiaceae.
UCCCCCACCAGCACCAGACCAAUCUCACUCCCAGCUUAGCCUGCACAUUUAGAAAUACAUGCAGGGCGUGAGUACAUAAUACUCAGUGGGCAAACGCCGAAAAACAAGAAAGGUGCUCUUAGAGCUAUAGGUUUGAAACUUGCCACAUCUCAGCAAUACACAGGAAUAAAGUUAGCGUAAAUGAACCUGUGUAAGCAGUUUUAAUAAACAUGUCAUCAUAAAGAAACGAUAGCGCUAUCAAAGUACUCAUCAUGUAUGUACCACAUCUACAACUCAUCAUCAUCAAAGGUACUGAGAAGUAGGCCUCCCUCUCAAGUACCGUGACCGGCCGACCCGAUGACGGCUCACAGUCACCUCUGUGCACAAAAUUCCGCUUGUGGCAGGACCGAAUUCGUCUCAUCAGUAGAGGGUAACAUACAAGCUCAACAUCAAAAAUUGGCAAGUCAAACAGUUCUCAAACAUCAUUUAUCUCAAAGCAUUUGAUAAGCUCAUAACAUCAUUAAAUCAUUUUAGAAAGCUCAUAUGAUAUACGUAUACUCAAAGUAUUGCCCACCUGAAGUCCUUCGCUUAGUUUCGGAAAGAAAACAGGCGACUUACUUCAUCGUCUCGCUCGGCCUUCAUAAAUCAUCAUCAUCGUCAUUGAAGGUUCAUGUGAUAAAACAAACCUUUAGUUAGAACUCAUUACUAAACUCAAACUUGUCUCAACGAUAACUUAUCACUCAUCUUCUAUUUACCCAAGAACAUCUCGAUCCCUAAGUAUACUUAACUUCUAAGGAUUCACAAAUCCUACUCUCGACCUAUCUCUCAACUCGGAUCAAACUCAUAGCAAAUAAGCACAUAAACAAGCAAAAACACUUAAGCAUAUAAAAACACACAUAGACAAGUCAAAAACCAACUUCACUCUGCACUGACUCGAUUUAAAAAGCUCACCAGACUCGGUACAGAACUCCACUGGAGUCGUGGCCCAUACCAAAUGAAACCUCUUUGAGUCUAGUUUCAUUUAAAAAAAAAGUAGGAUUAAAAACUACAAGUAAUGUAGGAGAUAUGACUGUUUUACUACAGUCUAUCAUAUUCGGCAGUUUUUAGCAAUCGAAAGCUUUGAUUUUUGAAAAAUAGAAAACGUUGUCAAAAAGGUCUUAAAUUUGUUGGGUAGAUAGCUAAGACACUCAUGUCUCAAAAAUCAAAAUUUGGGUUCCAAAAAGUUAGGUAAAGAUACUGAAAAAGGUGACUCUAUUGGCUACUCUCCGAACAAUUCGGCAGAACGUAGCAGUUUCGAUUUUCCAUUUUAUAAAAAUAGUAACCGAAGUGCAAAUGACUUGAAAUUUUACCGGUAUGCUCAAGACUCUCAAAUACACUUACCAUAAAAUUUUCAUGUCGAAAACAGUAGGUUAGUGCGCCAUGAAAAUGACUCCAAACUCAAACACACAAGCAAACAUGCUCAACUCAACAUUCCUUCAAAGGAAACUCAUCAAAGCUCAUCUUAAACACUUAUAGCACUAAAAACAUUCAAACACAACAUAAUACUCAUCAUAAUCAAUUUAACUCUCCUCUUUCAUCUCAAACUCAAAUCUCAAAGAUAAACUUUCAAAGAACGCAUCGUUUCAAUACUCAUCUCAUUUUCAUGCUCAAAAUUUCUCAAACUCAUAUGACCUCAUACAUCAUAUAGUUAACUCAUUAUACAUACAUAGAAUCUCUUAUAUAUGCAAACUAAACUCGAAGAAAAACUCACACAUCAACGUAGACUCUUAAUUAAAGCAUGACAAACGUUCACAUAAUAUCUAAGCAAUUAACCUAUUAAACCAAUCAUCGACUUCUCAAAAUAUGAAAACUGAUCAAAAACUUAUACAAACUAAACUAAGUCAAAAAUUUAUAUAGCCAACAAUUGACCUAACCAAACAUAUUUAGACACUAAUAUCAUGCUCAAUUUCAAUUAUCCUAAGCCAAUUCACGUAAUUAACACAUAGGCAUGAAAGUCCUAAUUUUUAUUAAACUAAGCUCUUUGAAAUUCUACAAACACACAUGACACUUCAAUCCAAUCAUGGAUCUAUCAAUUUUAACCAUUUAAUCUCACAUAUAAACCAUCAAUUGACAACUUAGGGCAUA